Molecule: long non-coding RNA, 198 nt
Organism: Coregonus clupeaformis (lake whitefish)
Lineage: Eukaryota; Metazoa; Chordata; Actinopteri; Salmoniformes; Salmonidae
Exons: 3
Source: RefSeq, a predicted model, not a curated record
UGCCAGUUUCAAAAGCAAAGUAUUCAUGUUUUUCCUUCUGUUUUCUCAGUUAGUCCAAGUGGCAGCCAGGAAGAAGCUGGCCAAGACAGAGCAUCAGAAUCAGACCAAGAGCUGCCAUCCCUGCUUGAUGAGCCUGUGGCUUCUGAGAUGCCUGCUGGAUACAUUAAAGAUCUUCAAGCAGUGGAGAUGAGGAUAAUG